GCCAGAGGAAGUGAGUUGGGGUUAGUUCUCCCUUCUACCAUGUGGAUCUCCAGGAUGGAACACAGGUCAUCAAGCUUGCCAUUGGUGCCUUUGUCUAUGGAGCCAUCUCACCAGCCUGCCUGGCAUGUGGUUCCUCCCUGAAUAGGAAUCAAAGUGUCUUUCUGUCCCUGAACGUGGAACACACAGAAUGAGGCUCUAGGUGUGCACGUCUGACAUCAGCAGAAUAGAAAUACCAUUCC
This 239-nucleotide long non-coding RNA is filed under the name Cricetulus griseus (Chinese hamster). RNAcentral describes it as "lncRNA (ENSCGRG00000025860.1)". Lineage: Eukaryota; Metazoa; Chordata; Mammalia; Rodentia; Cricetidae. The record is from RNAcentral.